This 465-nucleotide ribosomal RNA is filed under the name uncultured bacterium. RNAcentral's name for it is "partial 16S ribosomal RNA". It matches the Rfam family "Bacterial small subunit ribosomal RNA", at positions 338 to 795 of the family's 1533-position model. The record is from RNAcentral.
CCUACGGGCGACAGCAGUGGGGAAUUUUGCGCAAUGCUCGUAAGAGUGACGCAGCGACGCCGCGUGAAUGACGAAGGCCUUCGGGUCGUAAAGUUCUUUCGACAGGGAAGAAAAUGCAUAUAAGUAACUGUGUAUGUAUUGACGGUACCUGUAUAAGCAGCCCCGGCUAACUCCGUGCGAGCAGCCGCGGUAAUACGGAGGGGGCGAGCGUUGUUCGGAGUGACUGGGCGUAAAGGGCACGUAGGCGGUGUUGUAAGUCAUUAGUCAAAGGCUAGAGCUCAACUUCAGUAAGGCUAGUGAAACUAUAAUACUAGAGUAUGAGAGAGGAUUGCAGAAUGCCCGGUGUAGCGGUGAAAUGCGUAGAUAUCGGGAGGAAUACCGUUAGCGAAGGCGGCAAGCUGGCUCGAAACUGACGCUGAGGUGCGAAAGCGUGGGUAGCGAACAGGAUUAGAUACCCGUGUAGUC